GUUGUCCCUCCAGUGUCUGGGAAAAACAAUCCACUGUAAGAUUGGUGGCAUGUGGGAGGUACUCUGUCUUGAGAGUGAUUUUGCGACUGAAGCAGAAACGAUAAAUAUUUUUUGUGCCCUACCAGAGAGCUUGUGAGUGUGCCCUGCCUAGGGAGUUUAUGUACUGGUCAGCGGAGAUAUUGUCCAUCUGUACUCUGUGAGGUCCCUUGCCAAGCUGCUAAUGGCAAAGAAUCCUUUG
Molecule: non-coding RNA, 238 nt
Organism: Pelobates cultripes (western spadefoot toad)
Lineage: Eukaryota; Metazoa; Chordata; Amphibia; Anura; Pelobatidae
Source: the annotation of a GenBank genome assembly